Long non-coding RNA from Lotus japonicus, 1916 nucleotides. RefSeq lists it as uncharacterized. The record is from RefSeq and is a predicted model, not a curated record. The transcript is spliced from 5 exons. Lineage: Eukaryota; Viridiplantae; Streptophyta; Magnoliopsida; Fabales; Fabaceae.
ACUUCUGAUGCCGCAGUCAAGUUACCGAACUAAAACAAUUUGGUAGUUAGCAAAGAACACAAACCAAUUCAUUAGUUAGAUCGGAGCCUGAAAAAGUUGAAGUCGUCGUGGUGGGCAUUGAGCUCCUUCAACCACGAGUCUGCAACACUAUAUAGGUCGGACAUCCUUUGACCAUUAAAAGAGGAACUUAACCAAAUGUUCCUCUGUAGUUUGUAACUAGCUAGCCCAAAAAGGGUGAGAGAAAUGAAACUAUGGUCUUGCUCCUUGCAUAGGUCUCCCUCAUCACUUCCCCAGCAAUUACAACUACAUAUGUUUUUCCCUAUGUCCUUAUCGCCGUAUUUUUCCGCGCAAUGCAGGGACGAAUAAGAAUUAAGGUUAUUAAUUUGAAACUAUUGAAUUCAUGUGCUGAAAAACCUUCUAUAAUUGGUUAUUAUGCCAAAAUCAGUUAUGCGGAGAAGAUUUUUGGGUGUCAGCAUGAGUGUGAUUAGGGCCAGCUUCACAACAAAAAAAUUCUACCAAAAUACAGCCAAGAACCAUGAGCUAAGCCUUAAAUGCAUAUAGUUUCAAGUGAAUAACCUUGGUCCUUAUUUGGCCUGGAAGAUUGUUCAGACGAAUGUGGUGACAUUGACAUGGGGGAAAAUAUAUGAUUUUUACUAGUGGGGAACAAUUAAGGGAGAUAAAUGCAAGAAAGAGAAUUUUUCCGGCAGGCUACAAAGCCAAGAGACCCAAUAGCAUGGCAUGUGAUCCAAAGGAAUUACACGUAAGUGAAUUCCAUAAGGGCGGGCGGGAUGACUUAGGAAAUGAAGAUCAUGUCCCAGCUAGUGUUCGAGCGAGUGCAGGAUGACCGAGAUACAACAAUGAAGCAAGGUGGCCAAGAGCAAAACUUGCGCUCAGAAGCACCUUCAUAAAGGUUUCCCACAAAUCUGCAGAGGUACCCCCCACACAAUGGUCCAACAACUCCACUGUGCACCUCAAGCCAUUCUUGACCGUGUUCCACCGGAGAGACUAAGGAGAACCCAUAGUCUUAUUCCGAGAAAAAAAAGAUGAAAGGAUAUCUGAUUUGAACAAUGUUGUGGACUUGUGGUUGAAGUCAAGUGACAAAGUCAAGUUAAACGACACCGGUGACAGUAAAAGGACAAAAUACUCAGUUAUCACAAUGUUUCAUGCUUGGACGAAAAAGAAUAUUUUCAAGAGAAAUAGUAGAAUGUGAUGCAUUGAAGUAAAAAAAAUUAUUGUAGAGGUACAAUGCUACGUUAAGGAAGGCUUGUGUGAAGAAUAAAACAAGGUGCAGUUGAAUAAGCCCUACAACAAGUGUCAGAUGCAAACCCCAUAUUUCUGCUAAUAAGUUUUGCAACAAACAUGGAGAACUUCUGGAUGCUCGUAUGGAUACUAUGUAUCCAUAUAUGAAAUCUCUCCAAAACUAGAUCUGUUUAAAGGAGCUAAAUAGAAAAUGGCAACCUAUCGGCAAGAACAAAAUUGACUACUUCAUCCUGAAAGAUCUUUUGAACUGCUAUGAAGGAUGGAGUGCAUGGGGUGCUGGCGCACCUGUAAAGUUAGAAGCUGGUGAUACUCUGAUGCAGUACCAUGUUCCAUAUCUCUUAACCAUCCAAAUAUAUACCACUAAGUCUGUUGGACUUGGAGCUUCAAGAUAAAUGAGAUGGAUGAAAGCUAUCCUACAUUGAUGUCAUUGAAGAGAGUGGAUAUUUCACAUCCGAGUUGGAUGGUUGUUGCUUGGUGAGUAGAAUUGAUUAUUCUUGUAAUACUGAAAAAUUGUUAUACUUGUUGAUGAACACUUCGACUUGAAGUGGAUGCACCUACAUGAGUUGGCGAUUCUAGGUGUUUGUUAAUAGUUACCAAAAGAAAAAGAAAACUCACUUUAAUCUAAAUUUGGUUUGUUAUUUUGAUUUCUUAAACAA